AGGAAUCUGUCCUAUAAUCGAUGAUCCACGAUUUUUUUUACUUAUUUUAAAAGUUUGCAUAUCGCCGUAGAUUGAAUAUUUUUAAAAAAGAGUAAAUUUUCAAUAGUUUUUAUAAAAAAAAGAAUUCAGGUCAAGAUGUAGUUUAUGAAUAAGAAGAGAUGGGUUACAAUAAAAUUAUUUAUAACGGAUUGAUAAAUAAAAUUUUAUUAUAAAGGUGGAUUUAAGAGUAAUUUUAUUUAGAUUAAUAAGAUGAUUUUAGCUCUAAAGUAUGCACAUAUCGCCCGUCGCUUUCAUUAUAAAAUGAAAUAAGUCGUAACAAAGUAGAGGUACUGGAAAGUGUCUCUAGAAAGAUCAAGUUAGAGCUUAGAAAGCAUUUUAGUUACAUUAAAAAGUUUAUUGUAUAUUCAAUAUGAUUUGAACAGAAGUUUUUAUUAAAAAUUUUAAGGUAUAGUUUAUUAAUAUAAGAAUAUUUUAUUUUUAUUAAUAUUAAUGAGAAAAUAAAUUUUAUUAUAGGGUAAUAGUAUUGUGAAAGAAUAAAUUUAUGUAGUAAGAAUAAAAAUUAGGUUUUUGUACCUUGUGUAUCAGGGCUUAUUAAAUAAUAAUUUAAGAUUUAAUUUUCUCGAAUUAAUAAGAGUUAUAAUUAUAUAUAUAUAUUUGUUGAAUAAAAUUUUAUAAUAUAAUUAUGGAAAUGAAACACUAGUCGAUUAUUAAUAUAUCUAGUUUCUAAAGAAAAAAAUUUAAUUUUUUUAUUAAUUAGUAAAAAGUUUAAUUAAUAAUUUUUUAUUUUUAAUAUUUAAUAUUUUAGGGGAUGAGCUUUAAAAUAGAAAUUUUUAAAGAAUUUAUAUUUUUAAUUAAGUAGAAUUGUAAGUUUUUAUCUUUAAGAGGAUGUUGUAAUUAUUUUAUAAUUAGUUAUGAUUUAUAUAUUACUUUAAAUUUUUUUAUUUAGAUGAAAGUAUUAUUUAUAAAUAUUUUGUAAUAAUGAUAAGAUUAGUAUAAAUUAUUUGUUUUUAUUUAUUUUAUUUUUAGGUUGAGUAAAGGAAUUCGGCAAAUACAUUUUUCACCUGUUUAUUAAAAACAUGGCUUUUUGAGUUUAAUUUAAGGUCUGACCUGCCCAAUGAAGUUUUAAAUGGCCGCGGUAUUUUGACCGUGCAAAGGUAGCAUAAUCAUUAGUUUUUUAAUUGAAAGCUGGCAUGAAAGGUUGAAUGAGAAAAUAGCUGUCUCUAUUUAAAUUUUAUAGAAUUUUAUUUUUAAGUUAAAAAGCUUAAGAGACAAUAGAAGACGAGAAGACCCUAUAGAGUUUAAUUAUUUUUUAAAAGGAUGAUUUUAGAAUUAAC
This 1334-nucleotide ribosomal RNA is filed under the name Perperus sp. NLG-2014. Its description in RNAcentral is "partial 16S ribosomal RNA". Lineage: Eukaryota; Metazoa; Arthropoda; Insecta; Coleoptera; Curculionidae. The record is from RNAcentral.